UACGUAGGGUGCGAGCGUUAAUCGGAAUUACUGGGCGUAAAGCGUGCGCAGGCGGCUUCGCAAGUCAGACGUGAAAUCCCCGGGCUUAACCUGGGAAUGGCGUUUGAAACUACGGAGCUGGAGUGUGGCAGAGGGAGGUAGAAUUCCACGUGUAGCGAUGAAAUGCGUAGAUAUGUGGAGGAAUACCGAUGGCGAAGGCAGCCUCCUGGGCCAACACUGACGCUCAUGCACGAAAGCGUGGGGAGCAAACAGG
Molecule: ribosomal RNA, 253 nt
Filed under: uncultured bacterium
Lineage: Bacteria
Description: partial 16S ribosomal RNA
Rfam family: Bacterial small subunit ribosomal RNA
Source: RNAcentral